RNAcentral lists this ribosomal RNA (1389 nucleotides) under Lactiplantibacillus plantarum. Its description in RNAcentral is "bacterial SSU rRNA". It matches the Rfam family "Bacterial small subunit ribosomal RNA", at positions 60 to 1419 of the family's 1533-position model. Lineage: Bacteria; Bacillati; Bacillota; Bacilli; Lactobacillales; Lactobacillaceae. The record is from RNAcentral.
CGACGAACUCUGGUAUUGAUUGGUGCUUGCAUCAUGAUUUACAUUUGAGUGAGUGGCGAACUGGUGAGUAACACGUGGGAAACCUGCCCAGAAGCGGGGGAUAACACCUGGAAACAGAUGCUAAUACCGCAUAACAACUUGGACCGCAUGGUCCGAGUUUGAAAGAUGGCUUCGGCUAUCACUUUUGGAUGGUCCCGCGGCGUAUUAGCUAGAUGGUGGGGUAACGGCUCACCAUGGCAAUGAUACGUAGCCGACCUGAGAGGGUAAUCGGCCACAUUGGGACUGAGACACGGCCCAAACUCCUACGGGAGGCAGCAGUAGGGAAUCUUCCACAAUGGACGAAAGUCUGAUGGAGCAACGCCGCGUGAGUGAAGAAGGGUUUCGGCUCGUAAAACUCUGUUGUUAAAGAAGAACAUAUCUGAGAGUAACUGUUCAGGUAUUGACGGUAUUUAACCAGAAAGCCACGGCUAACUACGUGCCAGCAGCCGCGGUAAUACGUAGGUGGCAAGCGUUGUCCGGAUUUAUUGGGCGUAAAGCGAGCGCAGGCGGUUUUUUAAGUCUGAUGUGAAAGCCUUCGGCUCAACCGAAGAAGUGCAUCGGAAACUGGGAAACUUGAGUGCAGAAGAGGACAGUGGAACUCCAUGUGUAGCGGUGAAAUGCGUAGAUAUAUGGAAGAACACCAGUGGCGAAGGCGGCUGUCUGGUCUGUAACUGACGCUGAGGCUCGAAAGUAUGGGUAGCAAACAGGAUUAGAUACCCUGGUAGUCCAUACCGUAAACGAUGAAUGCUAAGUGUUGGAGGGUUUCCGCCCUUCAGUGCUGCAGCUAACGCAUUAAGCAUUCCGCCUGGGGAGUACGGCCGCAAGGCUGAAACUCAAAGGAAUUGACGGGGGCCCGCACAAGCGGUGGAGCAUGUGGUUUAAUUCGAAGCUACGCGAAGAACCUUACCAGGUCUUGACAUACUAUGCAAAUCUAAGAGAUUAGACGUUCCCUUCGGGGACAUGGAUACAGGUGGUGCAUGGUUGUCGUCAGCUCGUGUCGUGAGAUGUUGGGUUAAGUCCCGCAACGAGCGCAACCCUUAUUAUCAGUUGCCAGCAUUAAGUUGGGCACUCUGGUGAGACUGCCGGUGACAAACCGGAGGAAGGUGGGGAUGACGUCAAAUCAUCAUGCCCCUUAUGACCUGGGCUACACACGUGCUACAAUGGAUGGUACAACGAGUUGCGAACUCGCGAGAGUAAGCUAAUCUCUUAAAGCCAUUCUCAGUUCGGAUUGUAGGCUGCAACUCGCCUACAUGAAGUCGGAAUCGCUAGUAAUCGCGGAUCAGCAUGCCGCGGUGAAUACGUUCCCGGGCCUUGUACACACCGCCCGUCACACCAUGAGAGUUUGUAACA